UUUCAAGUAUAAGUAUAGCCCGUGCAAUAUUUGGGACAUACUUAUACUAAGA
Molecule: microRNA precursor, 52 nt
Filed under: Canis lupus familiaris (dog)
Lineage: Eukaryota; Metazoa; Chordata; Mammalia; Carnivora; Canidae
Also listed under: 2 other names
Description: mir-1302 microRNA precursor family
Rfam family: mir-1302 microRNA precursor family
Source: Rfam by way of RNAcentral